Molecule: RNA transcript, 2044 nt
Organism: Oncorhynchus keta (chum salmon)
Lineage: Eukaryota; Metazoa; Chordata; Actinopteri; Salmoniformes; Salmonidae
Gene name: putative transmembrane protein ZNF593OS
Exons: 4
Source: RefSeq, a predicted model, not a curated record
UCAAUCUACAACUAUUUAAAUGACACUUUUGCACGAAAAUUAGUUUGUGUCCACAAUUGAUUUGCAACUGUUUGUAAUUGGUUGACUCAAUUAUUAAUUAACUAACAAUGGACAUGAGCACGUACUGGAGGGGUAGAAAAAUUGAAUUGUUAACAUUUUGGGGGGGAAGAACUGAUUCUUACGUCACAAUAUGACUUGGUUAACCAUAUGGAUGGAGCAGCUAGGCAAAGUUUUAUUUUAUACUUUUUUUUUUUCUAACUUUUUUGUAAUUAAAGUAUAACCGUUCAAUGGGAUAGAUAUUAUUGAUUGGUUAAAUUUAACUCUUCAUUUGGAAUUAAUAGGUGUGGGUUUUAAUUUGGUGAUGAGCCACUUAAACUCCUUAGACAGGCAGCCCAAUAUUGUUUUUCUCACAAUUUAUAUUUUGACCAUCAGAUCCAGUUAAUUAAAAAAGAUUUGACGUAAUAGACGGCAGACGGAAGGGAGGCUUCUCCAGAUGAUGUUUUAGAUAAAGUAACAGCAGGUGUACGCCGACUCCUGCUAAGUAACUAAUGCAAAGAUUUAAAGCGCAAUUAUGCGUUUUUUCUCCAGUACAUUGCCACGAUUGUCAGUUAUGUAGCUGUCCUACUGAUCUCAGUGCGUCCUUGCUGGGAUGACACAAUCAAUCUACUGGCGGAGAAUACCAACACCAAACACAUUGGCUCACCGUUCCACGGGAGCGGACAGUAAGAACACAGCAUACCGUAAUAUUCUGAAUAGUGGCCAAGUAUACCUCGCUCCCCAUUCCACUGAACCAUUUUGGAGUAACAAACAAGUCCCAACAUUUACUGGAAACUGUUAAACUACCUGUUCACUACCCUCCGGCUCUCCUCCGGGGAUGUGCAACUCAACCCUGGGCGUAACUUCACCGAGCCAGCGAUACUCACUGGAGUGGAACGCAGUGGAUGGGAUCCACUGAUCGUCGCCGCUGCGGAAGUGGCCUAUGAAAUACGGUGCAACUGUUUUGGUUCUUGCUAGCAGCAUACCACCCUGCAUCCCACUGCUGGCUUGCUUCUGAAGCUUAGCAGGGUUGGUCCUGGAAUGGAGACCAGAUGCUGCUGGAAGUGGUGUUGGACGGUCUCCAGACCAGAGCUGCAUCAACACACCGAACAAAGAAACCAACCCCAGACCCACUACAGACAUGAUCAUCAGACUGGGCAGACUGACACCUGGAUACUUCCGCCUCCUACAGAGACAGGUGGCGGGUGAGGUGCAGACCCAGCCACAGGACCGUGUGGUCAACCAGAUAGCCAUGAUGCUCGCCAUCAUGGGCCUAAGCCUGUCCUACUACAGUGCCAAACGGAUGACCGAGAAGGUCCAGAGGCUCCAGAAGAGGAGAGAUCCCCAUACCCCCUGAAGACACCCCUCCCCCCAUGCGCCAGUCUGCUUUGAACCUGGAGAGAAGACGAACCAACGCGGAGAUGUUGUGGAGAGGAGACAUGGAGAUGUCGGUGUCCAGAACAACACCUUUUCACAACCAAUCAUUCAUAGUCACGUCGUUCACACACUGGCGUUUUACUGGGAUCACUCCCAAUGCGAGGAGAGUUUGGGGGCUGCUGCUUUUAAGGGUAUCUUGUUAAUUUUUCACACCAAUUUGUGUGUGUGUGUGUGUGUGUGUGUGUGUGUGAAGAAAGGCCCACGGUGGGGUUCGUGUGGUCCUGAUAGGAGGGGGGUACUACCAGCUGUCUAUGGUAAGGCUGGGCCUGAGCUUUAGUUGUUGCCAAGGUACAUGCGUGCAAGAUGCCAUCAAUACUGUUCUGCGCUAAAAAGGGAUAGAAAAAUGCCAAACUAAUUAUUCUAAUGUACUGUGAAACGUGCCAGUUCUCCAAGCAUAUGACUGCGUGUAAAAUACCUGAACAGUAAUUAUUUUUUAAGGGAAGGCUAUCUGCAUUUGAGAUGUAUCUGGUAAUGACUGAAGGCGGGCCCAUAGUGUGAGGAGAAAGUAACCCUCGUAGGUUUUUGUCAUUUCUUAUUGUUAAAUAAAAGUGAGCCAUGUGAAGUAGGUGUG